This is a small nuclear RNA of Elgaria multicarinata webbii, 117 nucleotides long. The record is from RefSeq and is a predicted model, not a curated record. NCBI's taxonomy places the organism in Eukaryota, Metazoa, Chordata, Lepidosauria, Squamata, Anguidae.
GUGUUCUAUCAAAAGAAAGAAGGUUAGCACUCCCCUUGAUAUGGAUGGAAGAGGUCCUGGGUGCUUCCAUCCUUCCCAUUUACCCCACCAAUGCCACUGUGCAAGCAGGUCCUUUUU